CUUGAUUUCUUUUUGACCCUCUACUGCCACUGCUGAUCUCUGGCCAUCCUCUUCCUGUCUCCUUGUCCAGCUGGGCCAGAUAAACAGACUUCUGGCAUUUUCAUGCAUGAUUCAUAACUUUAUGUAAAUGCUCUGGCAAGCUGGAUGAAUGGACAUGAUCCAAUAAAGAUAUUGAGCCUGAGAAUAAAACGCAGUAAAAGAGUGUUGAGAGCACAGAACUCCUCUGAAGUGGAAGGAUCCUUCUCACAGACACAGCAGUAAAGAAGACAGACGUGGUCUCUGCCCUCUUGAGUAUGUACCCAACAGAAAUGAGUGCGAACAUCUACCAAAAGACAUGUGUAAGAAUACUCAUGGCAGCUUAUGCAUAAUAGAAGAAAAACUGGAAGGAACCCAAAUGCUCUUUCAGGAGAAAGGAUAAAUAAAAGCAAU
Molecule: long non-coding RNA, 429 nt
Organism: Sus scrofa (pig)
Lineage: Eukaryota; Metazoa; Chordata; Mammalia; Artiodactyla; Suidae
Source: RefSeq, a predicted model, not a curated record